GCAGUGGUGGUUCAGUGGUAGAAUUCUCACCUUCCAUGUGGGAAACCUGGGUUUGUUUCUUGGCCAAUGCA
Molecule: transfer RNA, 71 nt
Filed under: Loxodonta africana (African savanna elephant)
Lineage: Eukaryota; Metazoa; Chordata; Mammalia; Proboscidea; Elephantidae
Rfam family: tRNA
About the family: Transfer RNA (tRNA) molecules are approximately 80 nucleotides in length. Their secondary structure includes four short double-helical elements and three loops (D, anti-codon, and T loops).
Source: Rfam by way of RNAcentral